RNAcentral lists this transfer RNA (75 nucleotides) under Chloroflexota bacterium. RNAcentral describes it as "tRNA-Pro". It matches the Rfam family "tRNA". Rfam says of the family: Transfer RNA (tRNA) molecules are approximately 80 nucleotides in length. Their secondary structure includes four short double-helical elements and three loops (D, anti-codon, and T loops). RNAcentral also lists the same sequence under 2 other names. The record is from RNAcentral. Lineage: Bacteria; Bacillati; Chloroflexota.
CGGGGUGUGGCGCAGCGGGAGCGCGCCUGUUUUGGGAACAGGAGGUCGCCGGUUCAAUCCCGGCCACCCCGACCA